Lathyrus oleraceus (garden pea) is the source of this 237-nucleotide long non-coding RNA. RefSeq lists it as uncharacterized. The transcript is spliced from 3 exons. Lineage: Eukaryota; Viridiplantae; Streptophyta; Magnoliopsida; Fabales; Fabaceae. The record is from RefSeq and is a predicted model, not a curated record.
AGGUUGCAACUGGUGAACAAUGAGGAGUUGUUGCACAAGAAUGACCUGCUGAAUUGCAGGUUUUGUCAUGACUUGAUGUAGAGUCGGCAUGGGUUUUUUUGCAUUGCAGGUUUGUAAGACAUGGCUUCGCACUUAUCAAUUAGGUGUGGCCUAUGAACAUAGAUGAUUGGCUCAUGAUAUGUUUGGUGUUGCAGGUACAAGACUAGUGUGUAUGGCUUGCUGCAUUUGUGACUUGGU